This 163-nucleotide ribosomal RNA is filed under the name Axonopus hydrolithicus. Its description in RNAcentral is "5.8S ribosomal RNA". The stretch from base 2 to 135 matches the Rfam family "5.8S ribosomal RNA", at positions 23 to 154 of the family's 154-position model. From Rfam's summary of the family: 5.8S ribosomal RNA (5.8S rRNA) is a component of the large subunit of the eukaryotic ribosome. It is transcribed by RNA polymerase I as part of the 45S precursor that also contains 18S and 28S rRNA. Lineage: Eukaryota; Viridiplantae; Streptophyta; Magnoliopsida; Poales; Poaceae. The record is from RNAcentral.
CGGCUCUCGCAUCGAUGAAGAACGUAGCAAAAUGCGAUACCUGGUGUGAAUUGCAGAAUCCCGCGAACCAUCGAGUUUUUGAACGCAAGUUGCGCCCAAGGCCUUUGGGCUGAGGGCACGUCUGCCUGGGCGUCACGCCAAUAGACACUCCCCNUCCCACCAU